Non-coding RNA from Acanthosepion pharaonis, 112 nucleotides. Lineage: Eukaryota; Metazoa; Mollusca; Cephalopoda; Sepiida; Sepiidae. The record is from the annotation of a GenBank genome assembly.
UUACGGUCAUAUCACAUUGAAACACCGGCUCUCUUGCGAUCACCGGUUAAGCUACGUCGAGGCUGGUCGGUACCUACAUGGGUGACCACUUUGGAAUACCAGGUGCUGUAAG